AGUAACGGCGAGUGAAGCGGCAACAGCUCAAAUUUGAAAUCUGGCCCCCAGGGCCCGAGUUGUAAUUUGCAGAGGAUGCUUUUGGCGCGGUGCCUUCCGAGUUCCCUGGAACGGGACGCCAUAGAGGGUGAGAGCCCCGUCUGGUCGGACGCCUAGCCUGUGUAAAGCUCCUUCGACGAGUCGAGUAGUUUGGGAAUGCUGCUCUAAAUGGGAGGUAUAUGUCUUCUAAAGCUAAAUACCGGCCAGAGACCGAUAGCGCACAAGUAGAGUGAUCGAAAGAUGAAAAGCACUUUGAAAAGAGGGUUAAAUAGUACGUGAAAUUGUUGAAAGGGAAGCGCUUGUGACCAGACUUGGGCCCGGUGGAUCAUCCAGCGUUCUCGCUGGUGCACUCCGCCGGGUUCAGGCCAGCAUCAGUUCGCCGCGGGGGAAAAAGGCUUCGGGAACGUGGCUCCUACGGGAGUGUUAUAGCCCGUUGCAUAAUACCCUGGGGCGGACUGAGGUUCGCGCUCCGCAAGGAUGCUGGCGUAAUGGUCAUCAGCGACCCGUCUUGAAACACGGACCAAGGAGUCGUCUUCGUAUGCGAGUGUUCGGGUGUAAAACCCCUACGCGUAAUGAAAGUGAACGCAGGUGAGAGCUUCGGCGCAUCAUCGACCGAUCCUGAUGUUCUCGGAUGGAUUUGAGUAAGAGCAUACGGGGCCGGACCCGAAAGAAGGUGAACUAUGCCUGUAUAGGGUGAAGCCAGAGGAAACUCUGGUGGAGGCUCGCAGC
Molecule: ribosomal RNA, 768 nt
Filed under: Hypocreales sp. 1 PPP-2020
Lineage: Eukaryota; Fungi; Ascomycota; Sordariomycetes; Hypocreales
Description: partial large subunit ribosomal RNA
Rfam family: Eukaryotic large subunit ribosomal RNA
Source: RNAcentral